This 1145-nucleotide ribosomal RNA is filed under the name Acinetobacter pittii. Its description in RNAcentral is "bacterial SSU rRNA". It matches the Rfam family "Bacterial small subunit ribosomal RNA", at positions 196 to 1321 of the family's 1533-position model. The record is from RNAcentral. Lineage: Bacteria; Pseudomonadati; Pseudomonadota; Gammaproteobacteria; Moraxellales; Moraxellaceae.
ACGGGAGAAAGCAGGGGAUCUUCGGACCUUGCGCUAAUAGAUGAGCCUAAGUCGGAUUAGCUAGUUGGUGGGGUAAAGGCCUACCAAGGCGACGAUCUGUAGCGGGUCUGAGAGGAUGAUCCGCCACACUGGGACUGAGACACGGCCCAGACUCCUACGGGAGGCAGCAGUGGGGAAUAUUGGACAAUGGGCGCAAGCCUGAUCCAGCCAUGCCGCGUGUGUGAAGAAGGCCUUAUGGUUGUAAAGCACUUUAAGCGAGGAGGAGGCUACUUUAGAUAAUACCUAGAGAUAGUGGACGUUACUCGCAGAAUAAGCACCGGCUAACUCUGUGCCAGCAGCCGCGGUAAUACAGAGGGUGCAAGCGUUAAUCGGAUUUACUGGGCGUAAAGCGCGCGUAGGCGGCUAAUUAAGUCAAAUGUGAAAUCCCCGAGCUUAACUUGGGAAUUGCAUUCGAUACUGGUUAGCUAGAGUGUGGGAGAGGAUGGUAGAAUUCCAGGUGUAGCGGUGAAAUGCGUAGAGAUCUGGAGGAAUACCGAUGGCGAAGGCAGCCAUCUGGCCUAACACUGACGCUGAGGUGCGAAAGCAUGGGGAGCAAACAGGAUUAGAUACCCUGGUAGUCCAUGCCGUAAACGAUGUCUACUAGCCGUUGGGGCCUUUGAGGCUUUAGUGGCGCAGCUAACGCGAUAAGUAGACCGCCUGGGGAGUACGGUCGCAAGACUAAAACUCAAAUGAAUUGACGGGGGCCCGCACAAGCGGUGGAGCAUGUGGUUUAAUUCGAUGCAACGCGAAGAACCUUACCUGGCCUUGACAUAGUAAGAACUUUCCAGAGAUGGAUUGGUGCCUUCGGGAACUUACAUACAGGUGCUGCAUGGCUGUCGUCAGCUCGUGUCGUGAGAUGUUGGGUUAAGUCCCGCAACGAGCGCAACCCUUUUCCUUAUUUGCCAGCGAGUAAUGUCGGGAACUUUAAGGAUACUGCCAGUGACAAACUGGAGGAAGGCGGGGACGACGUCAAGUCAUCAUGGCCCUUACGGCCAGGGCUACACACGUGCUACAAUGGUCGGUACAAAGGGUUGCUACCUAGCGAUAGGAUGCUAAUCUCAAAAAGCCGAUCGUAGUCCGGAUUGGAGUCUGCAACUCGACUCCAU